RNAcentral lists this long non-coding RNA (9371 nucleotides) under Marmota monax (woodchuck). The record is from RNAcentral. Lineage: Eukaryota; Metazoa; Chordata; Mammalia; Rodentia; Sciuridae.
ACUAAAUCAGCGUGGGCCUGAUUCACAGCACCCUGGGCCAGGCCGAGCACCCCGAGAGGAGUGUGCGACCCUCCUGCAGCACAGGCAGUACUGGGCACGCAGCCUCCACAGAGCACCUUGAAAGGCAGCAGGUGUCCGGCCACGGCCCACCAUGGCUGCCCCUGGCCUAGAAGGCAAUGAUAUCAUGAGGAAUUAUCAGGUGGGGGGUAUUGAUAGAUCUGGACUGUCCCCUAAAGGCUCGGUGUUGAAGGCUUGGUCCCCAUGCAGCAGGGUCCCAAAGUGGGGCUCUGGGAAGGUGAUUGGACCCUGAGGGCUCUGACCUCACCAGUGGGUUAGUCCACUGAUGGAUUCACAGUGGGAUGGACCACAGGGAGGUGCUGGCCACUGUAGAAGGGGGGUCAUAGUUGAAGGGGGUGAUACCCUGGGGAACUAUAUAUUGCUCCCAAACAUACACACUUUCUCCCCGAUCCUGCCCCCCGUCUUUCUCUCUCUCUCCCCCCUCCCCCCUUCCUGGCUGCUGGGAACUGAGCAGCUAUCCUCUGUCACACCCUUCUCAUGAUAUUCCGCCUCAUCUCAGGCCAAAGCCAUGGAGCCAGCCCACCAUGGAUUGAAACCUCAGAAACCGAUGAAGUAUUUUCUCCUUUAAGUUGUUUUUCUCAAGUAUGUUGUCAUAGUGACAAAAAACUGACUACCACAGAAGUCUUAAGGUCUCACCCCAAUCCUAAGGGUCCCCCCCCUGAGAAUCAGCUUAGCUGAUUGGGCCAGGAAGGUAAGGGGAAGACUAAAGGGGAGAAGGGCCCACCUCUGUGAUGUCACCCUGUCCUCCAUGGCUAAAGUUCCUGUCCCCGUUCCCGUGGCUAUGGCUUCCAAAGUGGGAAGAACAUACCCUGGGAGUUAAAUAAUAAUAAUAAUAAUUAGGACAGCAGGAAGAAAAAAAUUGCAAUUUCCAUUUAUGUUUUAUCUUCAUUAGCUUUUCCCCUUCUAUUUCUUAAUAUCCUGCUCGCAGCCUUACAUGUAUAAAACUUAUAAAGUAAUACAAUUAUUUUGAAGGACAUGCAAAUCCAAAAUGAUCUUAGGUCCCUGCCCUGGGGAACCAGGGACAAUCAAAUUGUGCUUGAUUGAUUCAGGGGACCCAGGCGAGCAGGUUCGUUGGGGGUAAGGCCUGGAGUCCCAUGGAUUGAAGCACACAGGGGACCCACCUCAGGAAAGGGAGGAGGAGACAGAGGAGGGGAGAGCACAGGGCAGAAAAACCGAGCAGAUGACAGAGAAUCAGACAAGCUGAGUCCGGAAGCUCAGAGUCAGGUGAGUCCUGGGGGAGGCACAGGGAAGGGAGGCAGAACAGCGAGAGGCUGCUUCCCGGGAAAAGUCAGGGCGGGGCUGGCUAAUUAUAGGGAUGCCCAUUCUGGCCUUCCACCCCCAAUCCCUUCUGCAUCCCUCUGUAGCCAUGGGGGUUUGGUUCCAGGAUCCCCCACAGAUACCCAGCUCUGCAGAUGCUUGAGUCCUUUAUAUAAAAUGAUGAGGUAUUUGCAUAUAACCUAGGCAACAUCUCCAUGUACGCUUUCAAUCAUCUCUAGAUCGCUUAUAAUACAAAAUACAAUGUACAUGCCAUGUAAAUAGUUGUUAAACUGUAUCGUUUAGGGAAUAAGACAAGGGAAAGGAUCCUGCAUAUGUCUGGCAUGGAAGUAUUUUUUUUUUUUCAAAUAUUUCCAACCAGCACCGAAUUGAAUCCAUGAACAUGAGCCCCACAGGUACCCAGGUCUGCCUCUGUAUUCCUUUAUACUGGUUCAAACUGGAGAAGGACAGAGGAGCCACCUACAGCCAGGGGUGCUCCAAGUCCCUGGGAUUUUCCCUGGCUCAGGUGAGGAAAAGGAUUGCUUUUCCACUGGCCACAGGACCCCAUUGUCCUUUUUAGCAUCUGGGUGAUAAACCAGCCAAUUUCCUGUUGGGUUGCCUGAGCCAGGAGAUUUCCCACUGAUGACAUUUCUCCUGUGAUUUGCACCCAGGGGAAUCCUCCAAGGUAAUUGCUAUUAUCACACCACUGGGAGUUCAUCUUGGGAGCAUUUGGGUCUUGCUGAUUUAAUAACCCAAACCCUGGAGUCUAUGCUGUGGGGAAAACGUUCAACGUGAUGUAAAGAACGAGCCAGCAUCCAGCAUCUUCUCCUGCAGGUCAGACCCAAGCUUACUUAAGAGAGUAAGAGUAAAAAGUGCAAGAGGAACAUUGACUUGUUUAACUGACCAUAGAUCUUCCUGGCAAUUAUUUGCAGCAAAGAUAGGGGCCCUUUCCAAGGUCAUGGGCCUGGGCACGGCUGGGUGAGAAAAAGUGGGUGAUUGGCUUUUUCAAUGAGUUUGCUGAUUUUUCUAGCAGGUGGAUGUCUCUUCUUUCAGGCCUGGCGCUCAGCCUGGCCUCCUGGACCAGCUGUGUCUGGAUGAAGGCAAAGAUGAGGCUCCUGCCCUGGAGCCUGGAGCAGCCAAGACCUUGAGCCCAGACCCCAGCUCAAGGUGGAUCCCCCACCGCACCCUCUCGGAGGAGGCAGCCUGGAGGAGCAGCAGGCCACUGGGUGGGGAGCAGGGUGGGGUCACAGCGCCUGCGUCUGGGCUCGCAUGGCCCACGAUGGUUCCCUGGUUGGGCUCCACCCGACUUCCAGACUCGGAUUCCCCAUACGUGACCCAGAGGUGGUUUCAUGGGGUGGAACCUUCCAUUUUCAGAUGAAGACGUUGAGGCCUGUGGGAGCAUCCGUGACCUAGGGCCUCCGGUCGUUUCCUAACUGGAUUGCUUCAGGCCAGUGUGGCCGUCCACCCUGUGGGAAGGCGCUGGGAGGCAUGGCCUGCAUCUUGUCCUCAGACUUGACCUUGGGCAAGUGCUCGGGUCUCAAUGACGAAUGAUUGACUCACUGUGUGAACGAGUGGAUGCACGGACGGAGUGGCAGCCGACCCGGGAUGCCCAGAUCCAGGUCUGGGGCUGGGUGGCACCUGGCUCAGGUAAGCACUGAUACACAGUACCCAGCGUCAUGGCGGAAGGACCCCGCUUUUCCAGUUACAGGAAAUCUGGGUGAAGGAGCAUCAGGGAGACCAUGGCCCUUGGACUGCCCUGCAGACUGGGGCAGGCACGGGAGCGCCAGUCUGGGGGAAUGUCACCCCACACGAAAGGGAUCUCUCGCUAGUGACUCUGCCCUCUGAAUCAGAGCUGACGGGGCUGAGUGACCAGGUGGGUGGCGAUAGGGUGACCUAUCUCAUCCUCCUUUGUAGUAUAGACUUGUCUUCCUCCUGACUGGAGGAAAGAGGCAAAGACCAUUUUUAUUUAUCCCCUCAAUGGGCUUGAAACCUCUUUCCUGCCCUCUCAUAUCCUUUCUUUGCAUCCCCUCUAUCUCUAUCCCCCUUUAUUGAGUCUAAGGCCACUUGAGUGUACAGCCUGAGAGUGGCAUCUAUCUGGAGUUGUGCAGUGUUCAACCAGGGUAGCUGUAUAUAGCAGCCCUGAAAGACUCCCAGAGAUUCAGAGCUCUGAGACCCUAGAGAGCCUGGAUCAUAAUCUCUCAACUUAAAAGGGAAGAAAUUGAGGCUCCAUGUGGAGAAAAGAUUUUUUCAAAGUCUUUGUGUUCAUCAGCUUUGUGUCACUAUGACCAAAAAUGCCUGACAAGAACAGCUUGGAGAAGGAAGAUUCAUUGUGGCUCACAGUCUCAGAGGUUCAGUCUAUGGUCCAUCGGUUCCAAGGGAGAGAAAUCGUGGUGGAAGCUCAUGGCAGAGGAGAGCUGCUCAGCUCAUGGCAGCCAGAGAGCAGAGAGAGAGAGGGGAGGAGGGGGGAGUGGGGAGGGAGAGAGAGGGGACGUGCCUGGGGAGAAGAAGAAAUCUUCCAGGGCAUGCUCCAACUAGGAUCUCCUCCAACUAGGACCCACCUGCCUGUCAUUUUUACCACCUCCCAGUAAAUACAUUCAAAUUACGAUCCAUCAAGUGGAUUAAUCCACUGAGGAGGUCAGAGCCCUCAUCAUCCAAUCUUUCCACCUCUGAACACUGCAGCGUUGGCUAGCUCAUGAGCACUGUGCAGCCACACCACGAGAGCCAGGCUCAGUGACUUGAUGACCUGUUGGAAUGUCAGCCAGCAGCUCCUGGGUCUGUUCACGAGUUGGUAAUGGGGUUCAGGUCAAGGAGGUAGAGAUGGGGACGUCCCCGUGCUUCCUUGCAGGGUAAAAAGCAGACGUUCGACAUGCUGGAGUGGACACUGCGGCUCCAUCCCACGCCGUGGGCGUGACCUUGGGCAGAUUCUGCAACCUUUCUGGGCUCCGGGUUUUUCAACUAUCCUCAUCCCAUUCCCCCACCCCCAUCUAGUGAGGACCAAACAAGGUGAUGCCAACAGGAAGGGCCUGGCUGGCACCGGGUGCGAGUUCCCUGUGGUCUCACUGCCCCCGCCAGGGCCUCCUCCCAGCCUCUGAGCCCGUGUUCUGCAUGUGUGUUACGUCUCUUCCCCACGGAAGCCAUUGAAAGGCAGGAACUGUUGCUGGGAAGAGAUAAAACCCUUGGCACCACUAAGCCAUUACCAGAGAUGUUUAACCAGCCCGUCCGCGGGCGGGAGGACACGCAUGAGAGCGUUUUAUCUUUCUCCCACAAAGGGAGAGCAGAGCCCGGUGCCAGGCCCGGAUGAAGGCUGGAUUUCUUUUCUUUUUUUUUUUUUUUUUUAAGAAGACAUUUAGGAUUCUACUGAUGCUUUGCUAACUCCCAGUCAAAUCACGACAUCAAGGAAAGAAAAACUCCAUUUUCUGCUAAGAUGUUGAAAUGGCCCUUGCCAAUUAGGCUGUGAGCUCUGGGCGGCGGGGGCCCGGGCAGGCAGCCUGGCACCGGUGCAUCACGUCUGUGCGCUGGAUCCCGUGAGCCCAGGACACUGCAGGAGUAGACACUCCAAGCCUACCUGGCACGACUUAAGUGAAGGGAGAGGCCUCCAAGGGCUCCCUCCUUGUCCCCCUCUGCUGUCCCAGGAUGUCCUAGAAGAGGCGUGUGAACUGUCAGUGACUAUCACUGUCAGUGUACAUCUACUUCAAAUUAGCAAAGACCACACUCCCAUGACAUCACCCACGAGAAAGACUGCAAAUACCACCUACCUGGGGCCUCCACUCCCCAGCCUCUGCUCCAGCUGCUGCUCCUGAAUUAACUCAUUUAGUCUCUAUGCAACUGUGGCAGCUUGAAGAAAGGUCCCUGGGUCUUCCCACUUCUCACAAGGAGAGGGAGUCUUGCUCUCAUCACCUUGAAUCUAGGCCAGUCCUGCGUCUGCUCUUACUAGUAGAAUGUGGUAGAAAUAGGCUGGGGCACUUUCUGGAUCAGGCCUUCAAGACCGGCAAGACUUCCAUUUCUUGGCAUGCCCUUUUGGGAGUCCUGGGACAUGAAGUAAGAAACCUGAUUAGGCUGGGUACGCCUGUAAUCCUAGCUUCUUGGGAGGCUGAGGCAGGAGGAACCCCAGGUUUGAGGCCAGCCUCGGCAACGUAGUGAGAAUACAUCUCAAAAUAAAAUAUAAAAGUGGCUGGGGAUGUAGCUCAGUGGUAGAAUGCCUGGGUUCAAUCCCUAGUACCUAGAACCAUGAAUAAUAAUAAGCAGCAGCAGCAGCCUGUCUAGCCUGGGACUGCCGUGCUCUAGAGAGGCCAUCAGUGAGCACUCUAAUUUGCAGUUUCAGUGGGGCCUAGCCUUUCAGUCAUUCCAGCCAAGAUGCCUGAUACAUGCCUGAAGUCAUCUGGGACCUUCCAGGCCAGCUGACUAUGGCCCGAGUUGAUGCCACGUGGAGAAGAAGCUCUAACCAGCCAAAUUCAGACUGAGUAACCUCCCCACAAAGUCAUCAGAUAAUGGGUGGAGAAAAUGGCUUUAUUAUGGAGCAAUCCGUAAGCAGAGCCACCACUUUGGAGGAGGACACAAUGGAGUGCCAUUUUACAGAUGAGAAGCUGAAGAUGCAGAAAAAGUUAGUAGUUUGUCCAAGGUCACACAGUGCUUAGCAGUAGAGCCAGGAUUCAAAACCCAGAUAGCCUGGCUCUGAAGCCUGAGCUCCCUAAACCUGGUCCUGACCACUCUCACAUCCAUGGCAGAUCCACCCCACCAGAGGCCAAGGCUGCUGGAAGCCAGGGGCAGAAUUUUAGCCCCACUCCUGGCAUGGAGAGGUGCUUAAUGUUUGCUCAGAGUGGAACAGGGUGGAGAAAUGAAGAGAGGGAGAGAUGUGUGGACGAAUGGGUGGAUGGAUGAGUGGUGGGUAGGUGAAUGGGUGGGUGGAUGGAUGGGUGGGUGGGUAGGUGGUAGAUGGUAGAUGGAUGGGUGGAUAGAUAAGUGGAUGGAUGAGUGGGUGGGUAGGUGGAUGGGUGGGUGGGUGGAUGGGUAGGUAGUAGAUUGUAGAUGGAUGGAUAGGUGGAUGGGUGGGUAGAUGGGUGGAUGUGUGGACUGGUGGGUGAAUGGGUGGAUGGGUGGGUGGUAGAUGGUAGAUGGAUGGGUGAGUGGAUGGGUGGAUGGGUAGAUAAGUGGAUGGAUGAGUGGGUGGGUAGGUGGAUGGGUGGGUGGAUGGGUAGGUGGUAGAUUGUAGAUGGAUGGGUGGGUGGAUGGGUGGAUAGAUGAGUGAUGGAUGAGAUGGUGGAUAGGUGGAUGGGUGGGUAGAUGGGUGGAUGUGUGGAUUGGUGGGUGGUAGAUGGUAGAUGUAUGGGUGGGUGGAUGAGUGAGUAGAUGGGAGGAUGGGUGGGUGGGUGGAUGAAUGUAUGGAUGAGUGGGUGAAUGGGUAGAUAGAUGAGUGGAUGGAUGAGUAGUGGGUGGGUUGAUAGAUGGGUGGAUAGGUGGAUGGGUGGGUGGGUGAAUAGAUGGGUGGUAGGUGGUAGAUGGUAGAUGGAUGGGUAAGUGGAUGAUUGGGUAGAUAGAUGGAUGAGUGGGUGGAUAGGUGGGUGGAUGAGUGCGUGGGUGGGUGAAUAGGUAGUAGAUGGGUGGUAGGUAGUAGAUGGUAGAUGUAAGGGUGGGCAGAUGGGUGGGUGGAAGGACAGAGGAAAGGAGAGAUGUUCAGAACAGUGGACAGAUGAUGGACCCGAGGGCUGUAAAGCCUGAGGAACGUGGAGGAGCCUGAAGUGUCGGGGACGUGAGCUUACUAGAGGUUCCACGUGGGGAGGAGGGAAGCAUGAGUGAUGUAGGGGCCUUGAAGGUGAGGAAGCCAACACCAGGCCCAGGGACAAGGCCCCCCUGACUGAUCCUGUGGUGCUGGGCCAUGGCUUCUCUUCUCCAGGGCCACCCGCGGAGUCUCCAGUAGAGAGGGGGUUGAUUUGGAGACUCAUAUUCUGGUGUCAUGUGCUGCCUCCAUUCCAUUUGAGGCACAGUCUUGACAAGGACCCAAAAAAGGGGCCACCAGGGAAAUGGAUGAAUCAGGUGCCGGGGCGUCCUGUCACUGGCUGGACACUAACUUUACCUCUGAAUGUCCCAAUUGCUCAGGGAAAAAAAAAAAAAAGAUCCAAUGUAGUUAAGGGUUCUGAUUCGGGGGACACUGGGGCACUGAUUGGUGUCUUAGACCCGAAACCAGCACCUACGAUCACUACAUGUGCAGAAGGUCUUCUCCGGCCCUCAGACACAUGCACCCCGCUUUCACUGUUGGGGGCCCUGCUCGGGAGCAUCGUUCCUCCUGAAAAUCUCAAACGUGCCUCGACUUGCGUCCUCUAGUCUCAAACAUGAACCCUCAGUCCUGGAGGUUUUGUCUUCUUCCCAGAGGGGUCAGUGACCCAGAUCUUCCAAAUCCCCAGAACCUUCUAGAGAAACGGGAGUCCCUGGGCUGGUUCUAACAAUGGUCUUCUUUUUAAGAUUGUAGGCAAACAGAAAAAUUUAAAUCAUCUUGUCCAAGCGUAUUUUUACAAGAAGAUUGAAAACGCCCGCCUCAGUGGACAUUCCCACUGGCGGCCACAGCAAGCUUCCAGGAUGCCAUCGCCAUGGUGCCGACGGCCAGGGUAUGGAGUUGGUGGAAACAGAUCAAAGGAGGUGAGCAAGCUGAUGUCGGAGAGAUGAAGACUUUCCCAACAAAGAAGGUGGUCUCUGUUCAGAAUUCAGAAAGAGCCAUUUGUCAUUCUGGGGGACUCUGCUCCGUAGAGACUCUUACAAAGGACGUUGGAUAACAUAAGGAGUGACCCAUAGAUGUCCACUGUCUGUGACCAGGACAGCAGUUUAGGAGCUACUGGAGAGGGGGAUAGUACAUCCAUGUCCAGCCACCGCUUCCCGGCCUCCUCUCCCCUGGGUCUCACCAAGGCAGAUCUGGGGAGAGUGCUGGAUCCCGGGCUAGGCUGGCUCAGCCAGUCUCCAUCCGGGCAUUUCCCCUCCUCCCCAGGGCACAUGCAUUUCAUUCACCAAUCUCUGCGCAAAGAACUAAUUGACCUCACUUCCACUCAAAUGAAGUGCUGAUCACUGAACAAGGAACUACCCUGCCAAGCCAAGGCCAGAAAUAAAUUAUUUUUAGAAAGUUAUAAUUUGAAGCAUCUGAAGAUGGGCUUCUCCAGGGAGUAGAGAAAGAAAGACAGCUAAAUCCAGACGUUCCACCAUUCCCCCCAUGCACUCCAUCUUCCUCACCCCCUGGACCUUUGUGCUUUCUGUUCCUUCCACCUGGAACGUCCCCCUGGGCCUCGCCUCUUCCAGGCACGACGCCCUCUGUCCUUCAAGGCUCAGACACUCCCCAUCUCCCCAUCUCGGCAGAAGCUCUCUAACAACAGGUCCUCUUGGCUCAUCUCAAAGAUUUGCUCUGUGGCUCUGGAGCCAGUGGCCUGGGCUCAACCAAAGACUCUGGGUUACCAGGUUGAUUCUGGUGAGUUACUAAAUCUCUCUGUGCUUUAGAGUCCCCUUCCAUGACAGGAGGACCAUCGAUCACCACAUCUGCCUGGUAGGGUUGUGAAGAGAAUUGUCAAAGGCGACAGCUGUUCACUGUGAUCAUCAUCCUUCCCGGGGCUGCAAGGUCAGGGCUGGGCAGCUCAGACUGGCUCCUGAACUGAACUGUGGGAACAAGCAGUUGGCAGCAGUCCCCUGGGAAAGCAGAGGCCCCGAGAGAGCUCCAAGAGAAACAGGGAGCCCAGGUAGAGGGUGGGGCUGGGAGUCCUGCUAAUUCCCGCCAUGCAGAGGUCUCACCAUGGCCAAGAUCUACCUGCCAACACUACGUCCUCACACGCAGAGUCCAGACGAGAUUCUCACGGGCAAACCCCGACUUCACCUUCCCACCAUCACGUAGAACGUAACAUUCUACACCAACUGAAGCAUGUGGGUGAGCAAAAUGUGCAGCUAAAUGACUAAGAAACGAUGAGUUUUGAAUAUUUAUUACUUUUCUUUUUGAUAUAAUGCUUAAUCAUUAGUUGACAGACUAUAAUGUUCAAUAAUGGCGGCAUUUAACAAGUAGCUGGCAAAAUUCC